This 246-nucleotide ribosomal RNA is filed under the name uncultured bacterium. RNAcentral describes it as "partial 16S ribosomal RNA". It matches the Rfam family "Bacterial small subunit ribosomal RNA", at positions 524 to 769 of the family's 1533-position model. The record is from RNAcentral.
UACGAGGGGGGCAAAUGUUGUUCGGAAUCACUGGGCGUAAAGGGAGCGUAGGCGGGUUUUUAAGUCAGGUGUUUAAUCCCGGGGCCCAACCCGGACCGGCACUUGAAACUGGGAAUCUUGAAUAGUGGUGAGGUCAGUGGAAUUGGGGGUGUAGCGGUGGAAUGCGUAGAGAUCCCCAAGAACACCAGUUGCGAAGGCGGCUGACUGGACACAUAUUGACGCUGAGGCUCGAAAGCAUGGGGGAGC